Molecule: ribosomal RNA, 253 nt
Filed under: uncultured bacterium
Lineage: Bacteria
Description: partial 16S ribosomal RNA
Rfam family: Archaeal small subunit ribosomal RNA
Source: RNAcentral
UACCAGCACCCCGAGUGGUCGGGACGAUUAUUGGGCCUAAAGCAUCCGUAGCCGGUCCUACAAGUCUUCCGUUAAAUCCACCUGCUUAACAGAUGGGCUGCGGAAGAUACUAUAGGGCUAGGAGGCGGGAGAGGCAAGCGGUACUUUAUGGGUAGGGGUAAAAUCCGCUGAUCCAUAGAAGACCACCAGUGGCGAAGGCGGCUUGCCAGAACGCGCUCGACGGUGAGGGAUGAAAGCUGGGGGAGCAAACCGG